CUGUUGGCCAGUCACCUUCCAUGUGGCUAUGACUCUUUGAUGUAUUUGGCUUUAAAGCCCCUAUUCUACCUUCAGACAGACUAUUUAUGUAGGUUGCUUUAUUUCUCUUAUGUUUUAGUCACCCUGUACCCAUUAUAGGUGCAGGGUGUGUGUAAUGUAAUUGUUUAUAGUGUGUGUGUGUGUACUGUGAAAUGUAUUACCUGCUCUUCUGUACUGCUGAG
Molecule: non-coding RNA, 221 nt
Organism: Pelobates cultripes (western spadefoot toad)
Lineage: Eukaryota; Metazoa; Chordata; Amphibia; Anura; Pelobatidae
Source: the annotation of a GenBank genome assembly